GCGUUGUUCGGAUUCAUUGGGCGUAAAGGGUGCGUAGGUGGCGGGGUAAGUCAGGUGUGAAAUUUCGGAGCUCAACUCCGAAACUGCAUUUGAUACUGCCUUGCUUGAGGACUGGAGAGGAGACUGGAAUUUACGGUGUAGCAGUGAAGUGCGUAGAGAUCGUAAGGAAGACCAGUGGCGAAGGCGGGUCUCUGGACAGUUCCUGACACUGAGGCACGAGGCCAGG
RNAcentral lists this ribosomal RNA (226 nucleotides) under uncultured bacterium. RNAcentral's name for it is "partial 16S ribosomal RNA". It matches the Rfam family "Bacterial small subunit ribosomal RNA", at positions 538 to 764 of the family's 1533-position model. The record is from RNAcentral.